This 1255-nucleotide ribosomal RNA is filed under the name metagenome. Its description in RNAcentral is "bacterial SSU rRNA". It matches the Rfam family "Bacterial small subunit ribosomal RNA", at positions 251 to 1498 of the family's 1533-position model. The record is from RNAcentral.
GGUGAGGUAAAAGCUCACCAAGGCGACGAUCUGUAGCGGGUCUGAGAGGAUGAUCCGCCACACUGGAACUGAGACACGGUCCAGACUCCUACGGGAGGCAGCAGUGGGGAAUUUUGGACAAUGGGGGCAACCCUGAUCCAGCCAUGCCGCGUGAGUGAAGAAGGCCUUCGGGUUGUAAAGCUCUUUCAGCCGGGAAGAAAACGCAUGGGUUAAUACCCUGUGUGGAUGACGGUACCGGAAUAAGAAGCACCGGCUAACUACGUGCCAGCAGCCGCGGUAAUACGUAGGGUGCGAGCGUUAAUCGUAUUACUGGGCGUAAAGCGUGCGCAGGCGGUUUUGUAAGACAGGCGUGAAAUCCCCGGGCUUAACCUGGGAACUGCGUUUGUGACUGCAAGGCUAGAGUACGGCAGAGGGGGGUGGAAUUCCACGUGUAGCAGUGAAAUGCGUAGAGAUGUGGAGGAACACCAAUGGCGAAGGCAGCCCCCUGGGUCGAUACUGACGCUCAUGCACGAAAGCGUGGGUAGCAAACAGGAUUAGAUACCCUGGUAGUCCACGCCCUAAACGAUGUCAACUAGGUGUUGGGAGGGUAAAACCUUUUAGUACCGGAGCUAACGCGUGAAGUUGACCGCCUGGGGAGUACGGCCGCAAGGUUAAAACUCAAAGGAAUUGACGGGGACCCGCACAAGCGGUGGAUGAUGUGGAUUAAUUCGAUGCAACGCGAAAAACCUUACCUACCCUUGACAUGCCAAGAACUUUCCAGAGAUGGAUUGGUGCCCGAAAGGGAACUUGGACACAGGUGCUGCAUGGCUGUCGUCAGCUCGUGUCGUGAGAUGUUGGGUUAAGUCCCGCAACGAGCGCAACCCUUGUCGUUAAUUGCCAUCAUUUAGUUGGGCACUUUAACGAGACUGCCGGUGACAAACCGGAGGAAGGUGGGGAUGACGUCAAGUCCUCAUGGCCCUUAUGGGUAGGGCUUCACACGUCAUACAAUGGUCGGUACAAAGGGUCGCCAAGCCGCGAGGUGGAGCCAAUCCUAGAAAGCCGAUCGUAGUCCGGAUCGCAGUCUGCAACUCGACUGCGUGAAGUCGGAAUCGCUAGUAAUCGUGGAUCAGAAUGUCACGGUGAAUACGUUCCCGGGUCUUGUACACACCGCCCGUCACACCAUGGGAGCGGGUUCCGCCAGAAGUAGGUAGCCUAACCGCAAGGAGGGCGCUUACCACGGCGGGGUUCGUGACUGGGGUGAAGUCGUAACAAGGUA